GUGGGGAAUAUUGGACAAUGGGCGAAAGCCUGAUCCAGCAAUGCCGCGUGAGUGAUGAAGGCCCUAGGGUUGUAAAGCUCUUUUACCCGGGAUGAUAAUGACAGUACCGGGGGAAUAAGCUCCGGCUAACUUCGUGCCAGCAGCCGCGGUAAUACGAGGGGAGCUAGCGUUGUUCGGAAUUACUGGGCGUAAAGCGCGCGUAGGCGGUUUUUUAAGUCAGAGGUGAAAGCCCGGGGCUCAACCCCGGAAUAGCCUUUGAAACUGGAAAACUAGAAUCUUGGAGAGGUCAGUGGAAUUCCGAGUGUAGAGGUGAAAUUCGUAGAUAUUCGGAAGAACACCAGUGGCGAAGGCGACUGACUGGACAAGUAUUGACGCUGAGGUGCGAAAGCGUGGGGAGCAAACAGGAUUAGAAACCCUUGUAGUCC
RNAcentral lists this ribosomal RNA (425 nucleotides) under uncultured bacterium. RNAcentral describes it as "partial 16S ribosomal RNA". It matches the Rfam family "Bacterial small subunit ribosomal RNA", at positions 354 to 796 of the family's 1533-position model. The record is from RNAcentral.